This 1066-nucleotide ribosomal RNA is filed under the name Pediococcus pentosaceus. RNAcentral's name for it is "bacterial SSU rRNA". It matches the Rfam family "Bacterial small subunit ribosomal RNA", at positions 62 to 1117 of the family's 1533-position model. The record is from RNAcentral. Lineage: Bacteria; Bacillati; Bacillota; Bacilli; Lactobacillales; Lactobacillaceae.
UUGUACUGAUUGAGAUUUUAACACGAAGUGAGUGGCGAACGGGUGAGUAACACGUGGGUAACCUGCCCAGAAGUAGGGGAUAACACCUGGAAACAGAUGCUAAUACCGUAUACAGAGAAAACCGCAUGGUUUUCUUUUAAAAGAUGGCUCUGCUAUCACUUCUGGAUGGACCCGCGGCGUAUUAGCUAGUUGGUGAGGUAAAGGCUCACCAAGGCAGUGAUACGUAGCCGACCUGAGAGGGUAAUCGGCCACAUUGGGACUGAGACACGGCCCAGACUCCUACGGGAGGCAGCAGUAGGGAAUCUUCCACAAUGGACGCAAGUCUGAUGGAGCAACGCCGCGUGAGUGAAGAAGGGUUUCGGCUCGUAAAGCUCUGUUGUUAAAGAAGAACGUGGGUAAGAGUAACUGUUUACCCAGUGACGGUAUUUAACCAGAAAGCCACGGCUAACUACGUGCCAGCAGCCGCGGUAAUACGUAGGUGGCAAGCGUUAUCCGGAUUUAUUGGGCGUAAAGCGAGCGCAGGCGGUCUUUUAAGUCUAAUGUGAAAGCCUUCGGCUCAACCGAAGAAGUGCAUUGGAAACUGGGAGACUUGAGUGCAGAAGAGGACAGUGGAACUCCAUGUGUAGCGGUGAAAUGCGUAGAUAUAUGGAAGAACACCAGUGGCGAAGGCGGCUGUCUGGUCUGCAACUGACGCUGAGGCUCGAAAGCAUGGGUAGCGAACAGGAUUAGAUACCCUGGUAGUCCAUGCCGUAAACGAUGAUUACUAAGUGUUGGAGGGUUUCCGCCCUUCAGUGCUGCAGCUAACGCAUUAAGUAAUCCGCCUGGGGAGUACGACCGCAAGGUUGAAACUCAAAAGAAUUGACGGGGGCCCGCACAAGCGGUGGAGCAUGUGGUUUAAUUCGAAGCUACGCGAAGAACCUUACCAGGUCUUGACAUCUUCUGACAGUCUAAGAGAUUAGAGGUUCCCUUCGGGGACAGAAUGACAGGUGGUGCAUGGUUGUCGUCAGCUCGUGUCGUGAGAUGUUGGGUUAAGUCCCGCAACGAGCGCAACCCUUAUUACUAGUUG